UUCGCAAUGCCCGAAAGGGUGACGAAGCGACGCCGCGUGGAUGAAGAAGGCCUUCGGGUUGUAAAAUCCUGUCAGGAGUUAAGAAAUGUAAGUUUGAGAAUAUCAAAUUUAUUUGACAAAAGCUCCAGAGGAAGCCACGGCUAACUCUGUGCCAGCAGCCGCGGUAAUACAGAGGUGGCAAGCGUUGUUCGGAAUUAUUGGGCGUAAAGAGCACGUAGGUGGAUUUGUUAGUCAGAUGUGAAAGCCUUUCGUUCAACGGAAGAAUUGCAUCUGAAACUACAAACCUUGAGUAUAGGAGGGGAGAGUGGAACUUCUGGUGGAGCGGUGAAAUGCGUAGAUAUCAGAAGGAACGCCGGCGGCGAAAGCGACUCUCUGGCCUAUAACUGACACUGAGUGUGCGAAAGCUAGGGGAGCAAACGGGAUUAGAUACCCCGGUAGUCCUAGCCGUAAACGAUGGGCACUAAGUAGAGGGGUUUU
Molecule: ribosomal RNA, 477 nt
Filed under: Candidatus Scalindua brodae
Lineage: Bacteria; Pseudomonadati; Planctomycetota; Candidatus Brocadiia; Candidatus Brocadiales; Candidatus Scalinduaceae
Description: bacterial SSU rRNA
Rfam family: Bacterial small subunit ribosomal RNA
Source: RNAcentral